Molecule: ribosomal RNA, 478 nt
Filed under: Mene maculata
Lineage: Eukaryota; Metazoa; Chordata; Actinopteri; Menidae
Description: partial small subunit ribosomal RNA
Rfam family: Bacterial small subunit ribosomal RNA
Source: RNAcentral
CACUAUGCUUAGCCCUAAACAUCGAUCACACCCUACACUUAACAUCCGCCCGGGAACUACGAACACCAGUUUAAAACCCAAAGGACUUGGCGGUGCUUUACAUCCACCUAGAGGAGCCUGUUCUAGAACCGAUAACCCCCGUUCAACCUCACCCUCCCUUGCUUAUCCCGCCUAUAUACCACCGUCGUCAGCUUACCCUGUGAAGGCCCAAUAGUAAGCAAAAUUGGCAUAGCCCAAAACGUCAGGUCGAGGUGUAGCGUAUGAGAGGGGAAGAAAUGGGCUACAUUCACUAGCAGUAGUGAAUUUACGAAAAAUGCAUUGAAACAUGCAAUUGAAGGAGGAUUUAGUAGUAAGCAGGAAGUAGAGUGUCCCGCUGAAACCGGCCCUAAAGCAUGCACACACCGCCCGUCACCCUCCCCGAACCCACAACCAAACCAUAAAUAAUAAACUAUAACCGCAAAGGGGAGGAAAGUCGUAA